RNAcentral lists this ribosomal RNA (468 nucleotides) under uncultured bacterium. RNAcentral describes it as "partial 16S ribosomal RNA". It matches the Rfam family "Bacterial small subunit ribosomal RNA", at positions 28 to 507 of the family's 1533-position model. The record is from RNAcentral.
GACGAACGCUGGCGGCGUGCUUAACACAUGCAAGUCGAACGGAAAGGCCCUGCUUUUGUGGGGUGCUCGAGUGGCGAACGGGUGAGUAACACGUGAGUAACCUGCCCUUGACUUUGGGAUAACUUCAGGAAACUGGGGCUAAUACCGGAUAGGAGCUCCUGCCGCAUGGUGGGGGUUGGAAAGUUUCGGCGGUUGGGGAUGGACUCGCGGCUUAUCAGCUUGUUGGUGGGGUAGUGGCUUACCAAGGCUUUGACGGGUAGCCGGCCUGAGAGGGUGACCGGCCACAUUGGGACUGAGAUACGGCCCAGACUCCUACGGGAGGCAGCAGUGGGGAAUAUUGCACAAUGGGCGGAAGCCUGAUGCAGCACCGCCGCGUGCGGGAUGACGGCCUUCGGGUUGUAAACCGCUUUCGCCUGUGACGAAGCGUGAGUGACGGUAAUGGGUAAAGAAGCACCGGCUAACUACGUG